RNAcentral lists this ribosomal RNA (369 nucleotides) under uncultured organism. RNAcentral describes it as "bacterial SSU rRNA". It matches the Rfam family "Bacterial small subunit ribosomal RNA", at positions 526 to 896 of the family's 1533-position model. The record is from RNAcentral.
CGUAGGUGGCAAGCGUUGUCCGGAUUUAUUGGGUUUAAAGGGUGCGUAGGUGGCCCUGUAAGUCAGUGGUGAAAUAUCUCAGCUUAACUGAGAGGGUGCCAUUGAUACUGCAGGGCUUGAGUACAGAUGAGGUAGGCGGAAUUGACGGUGUAGCGGUGAAAUGCAUAGAUAUCGUCAAGAACACCGAUAGCGAAGGCAGCUUACCAAGCUGUAACUGACACUGAGGCACGAAAGUGUGGGGAUCAAACAGGAUUAGAUACCCUGGUAGUCCACACUGUAAACGUUGAUGACUCGAUGUUGGCGAUACACAGCCAGCGUCCAAGAGCAAUCGUUAAGUCAUCCACCUGGGGAGUACGCCGGACAACGGUG